RNAcentral lists this long non-coding RNA (371 nucleotides) under Manihot esculenta (cassava). Its description in RNAcentral is "long non-coding RNA (MESC_LNC009944)". The record is from RNAcentral. Lineage: Eukaryota; Viridiplantae; Streptophyta; Magnoliopsida; Malpighiales; Euphorbiaceae.
UUAGGCAAGGAAGGUCCAUAUCAAAACCUGGCACAAUCCUCAGAAAUUGACUGAAUUGAUUCUUUCCUGCAACGAGUAUGCCCAACACCAUUGCAGCCUAUAGGAGCAUGUUCAAGUCAGAAUUGCUUAAGGGUUAGUAUCAAAAUAAAUAAUUCAGACUUAACAUAUUUAUUGAUGACAAGCACCAUGACUAGGGCUCACCUAAAGCGUGUCUAUUUGUUGCUAUCUUUUUUCUCAGUCCUGCUGUCUUUAGAAUCAAUGCAAGGGGUUAGAGGUGGAAAGGAUGGCACAGCUUUCAAUAUGAACUUGCGACCACUUCUCAAGCCUCCCGAAGAGCUUGACCAGAGGCCCUGAAUAUGUUUGUGAGGAGG